Molecule: ribosomal RNA, 500 nt
Filed under: uncultured bacterium
Lineage: Bacteria
Description: partial 16S ribosomal RNA
Rfam family: Bacterial small subunit ribosomal RNA
Source: RNAcentral
AUUGAACGCUGGCGGCAUGCCUUACACAUGCAAGUCGAACGGUAGCACGGGAGCAAUCCUGGUGGCGAGUGGCGAACGGGUGAGUAAUAUAUCGGAACGUGCCCAGUCGUGGGGGAUAACGCAGCGAAAGCUGUGCUAAUACCGCAUACGAUCUACGGAUGAAAGCGGGGGAUCGCAAGACCUCGCGCGAUUGGAGCGGCCGAUAUCAGAUUAGCUAGUUGGUGGGGUAAAAGCCCACCAAGGCGACGAUCUGUAGCUGGUCUGAGAGGACGACCAGCCACACUGGAACUGAGACACGGUCCAGACUCCUACGGGAGGCAGCAGUGGGGAAUUUUGGACAAUGGGCGCAAGCCUGAUCCAGCAAUGCCGCGUGCAGGAUGAAGGCCUUCGGGUUGUAAACUGCUUUUGUACGGAACGAAACGGCUCUUUCUAAUAAAGAGGGCUAAUGACGGUACCGUAAGAAUAAGCACCGGCUAACUACGUGCCAGCAGCCGCUGUAA